AUUGAACGCUGGCGGCAGGCCUAACACAUGCAAGUCGAACGAGUGGCGGACGGGUGAGUAAUGUCUGGGAAACUGCCCGAUGGAGGGGGAUAACUACUGGAAACGGUAGCUAAUACCGCAUACCAUCGGAUGUGCCCAGAUGGGAUUAGCUAUUGGGUGGGGUAACGGCUCACCUAUGCGACGAUCCCUAUCUGGUCUGAGAGGAUGACCAGCCAAAAUGGAACUGAGACCCGGUCCAGACUCCUAAGGGAGGCAGCGGUUGGGAAUAUUGCACAAGUGGCGCAAGCCUGAUGCAGCCAUGCCGCGUGUAUGAAGAAGGCCUUCGGGUUGUAAAGUACUUUCAGCGAGGAGGCGUUACUCGCAGAAGAAGCACCGGCUAACUCCGUGCCAGCAGCCGCGGUAAUUC
Molecule: ribosomal RNA, 406 nt
Filed under: uncultured bacterium
Lineage: Bacteria
Description: partial 16S ribosomal RNA
Rfam family: Bacterial small subunit ribosomal RNA
Source: RNAcentral